CAUGGGCAACCUACUUGUGAUGUGGACCUGAACCUCCGCCAUGUAGCAGACAACCCCCCUCAGGUCUUGCGGAGUAUCCUUCCCAAGUGGCGUGGAUGUGAAGAGACACGACAGUUCCCCUGAUGUACCAUGGCAUGGGCGACCUACUUGUGAUGUGGACCUGAACCUCCGCCAUGUAGCAGACAACCCCCCUCAGGUCUUGCGGAGUAUCCUUCCCAAGUUGCUUGAAUCAUCAUGGAUGAAAAGGGACA
This is a long non-coding RNA of Pseudophryne corroboree (corroboree frog), 251 nucleotides long. RefSeq lists it as uncharacterized. The record is from RefSeq and is a predicted model, not a curated record. The transcript is spliced from 3 exons. Lineage: Eukaryota; Metazoa; Chordata; Amphibia; Anura; Myobatrachidae.